This 104-nucleotide ribosomal RNA is filed under the name Globisporangium sylvaticum. RNAcentral's name for it is "Pythium sylvaticum partial 28S ribosomal RNA". The record is from RNAcentral. Lineage: Eukaryota; Oomycota; Peronosporomycetes; Pythiales; Pythiaceae.
GUGUACUCCGGGUUUGAUCCUGCGUGUAUAUCUCAAUUGGACCUGAUAUCAGACAAGACUACCCGCUGAACUUAAGCAUAUCGUGAAAGACGCAGGGGGAAAAC